GCCAGGCAUGGAGGUGUGUGCCUGUAAUCCCAGCUACUCAGGAGGCUGAGGCAGGAGAAUUGCUUGAACCCGGGGGGCGGAGGUGGCAGUGAGCCAAGAUCGUGCCACUGCCCUCCAGCCUGGGUGACAGAGCGAGACUCUGUCUCAA
This is an unclassified non-coding RNA of Pongo abelii (Sumatran orangutan), 148 nucleotides long. It matches the Rfam family "Metazoan signal recognition particle RNA". Rfam says of the family: The signal recognition particle (SRP) is a universally conserved ribonucleoprotein. It is involved in the co-translational targeting of proteins to membranes. NCBI's taxonomy places the organism in Eukaryota, Metazoa, Chordata, Mammalia, Primates, Hominidae. The record is from Ensembl.